GGAUUAGUGUUCUUACAAUAUCCUUAGUGUGCAAGAUUAGUACCUAUCAAUGCAAACUUAACCGAAGAAGACUUGUAGCCUGGAAUGAGUAGCUAUUGAUGUGUGUGUGCUUUCUUUGUUUUAUUUCAAUUUGCUCGGAGUGCAAAAGUUCAAGUCCGGGGGAAUUUGAUAAGUGCAUAUUUAUGCACAAUUCUCCUACUUUUUACUUAGGCAUUUCUUUAUUUUAUUUUGUUUAUUUUUAUAUUUUAUUAUGUUUUCAUAUUUUAUUUUAUUUUUAGUUUAAUUUAAUUUUCGCACUUAUUUUUCAGCUUUAGCAGUUUGCGCGGAAACGAUCAUAACUGGAGUUCCGGGAAUCCGUUUGAGGCGUUCUAAAAAUCGUCGGAAAGCUAAGAG
Molecule: long non-coding RNA, 393 nt
Filed under: Lathyrus oleraceus (garden pea)
Lineage: Eukaryota; Viridiplantae; Streptophyta; Magnoliopsida; Fabales; Fabaceae
Description: Pisum sativum (pea) long non-coding RNA (PSAT_LNC004737)
Source: RNAcentral